UUAGGAGAUCCCAUUCCCGCCACAACAUUUGCUCCCCCAAAUCAAUUUGGGAAGAGGAGGUGUUAUGCAUAACACAUUUGAAGAUAUACACAGCCAUUGGAAAAGGGCUGAGGCUGUGAGAAUAAAGUGCUUGAGGCUUUGAGACAUGGGCAAUAUUUGCUUCCAUCUCGACUUCUCGAGGUUUCAAACCCUCAAAAACUCUGACAUUCUACUGAUGUUGUGGAAGCCUUACGCACCAAUAUAUCCCAAGCUAGUGAAGAAUGUGGCUGAUGGUCUAACAUUUGAAGAAACUAAGGAGAAGCGAAACAGAGGACUUAAUUCUCCCCCUCUAGUGAAACUCACUAGAAAUGGCGUGUAUGUAAAUGUGGUGGAGAGAGUGAGGACAGCAUUUGAGACUGAUGAGUCACUUUGCUUAUGUUUGGAGCUUUUGAGUCAAGAAAAGGAUUAACUAUAAGGGACAUCAGUGAAGCACUUGAAAUUAAGGCAGAUGAUUCCAGGUUCAUCGUCGUCGUUCCUGUGCCAACUCCAAAACGCAUGAGUUGAAUUCACGAUGUUGAGCUCACCAUGGCCAAAACUUGCUUCACGAAAGACAGACCACUCGGGCUGCUGCUCCUUGUACCUGCGCGCUAAGCCUUCACUGUUUCCACCAUCGCCAAUCGUGAUGUGUACGAAUCCACAAGGAUCGGAUUUACCAUUGAAGACACGCUUCUGUCAUUACAAGCCAAACAGUUAAGGUGGAGCUCAAAGAUUGAAUACAGAUACAGAAGCAAAAUCAUACUGUGCGUUCAUAGGCAUGAACAUGGCCAGCAAACACAACGUCCACGGCAGCAGCAUGCAGCAAGGGCUCAAUUGCUGCCAUCAUGCCAUCACCUUCACCUUGAUGAGCCUCGUUACUGUUAUACCAUGGAACAUGGAAUACGGCAAGGAUCCAUGGUGUCCUUCCGCGAUUCACUUUCGAAAGAUCACCCU
Long non-coding RNA from Salvia miltiorrhiza (redroot sage), 969 nucleotides. RefSeq lists it as uncharacterized. The transcript is spliced from 5 exons. NCBI's taxonomy places the organism in Eukaryota, Viridiplantae, Streptophyta, Magnoliopsida, Lamiales, Lamiaceae. The record is from RefSeq and is a predicted model, not a curated record.